This 1145-nucleotide ribosomal RNA is filed under the name Aponurus mulli. Its description in RNAcentral is "eukaryotic LSU rRNA". It matches the Rfam family "Eukaryotic large subunit ribosomal RNA", at positions 99 to 911 of the family's 3401-position model. Lineage: Eukaryota; Metazoa; Platyhelminthes; Trematoda; Azygiida; Hemiuridae. The record is from RNAcentral.
AGGGAAGAGCCCAGCACCGAAGCCUGUGGUUGUUUGAUCACUAGGCAAUGUGGUGUUUAGGUUUGCUCUACGGAACCACUGCUCUGCUCUAAAUCCAGUUAUGAAUACGGUUAAUGGACAUGGCCCAUAGAGGGUGAAAGGCCCGUGUGAGUAGAGUCCAUGGUGGUUUCCCUGACAAACCUUGGAGUCGGGUUGUUUGAGAAUGCAGCCCAAAGUGGGUGGUAAACUCCAUCCAAGGCUCAAUACUGGCACGAGUCCGAUAGCGAACAAGUACCGUGAGGGAAAGUUGAAAAGUACUCUGAAGAGAGAGUAAACAGUACGUGAAACCGCACAGAGGUAAACGGGUAGAGUUGAACUGCAAGCCUGGAAGAUUCAGCAGAUGAGUAUGGUUGUGCCUGGCGCAGAGGUCUGCUUAGUUGCGGGUUAUUGCUUUCGGGUGGUAACUGGCGAUGCACUUGUCAUGUGUUGCCUGCCUUUGUGUUGCUGGUCGGCUCGUUUGUGCACUUCUUUCAGGUGUUCAUCACGACCGGCGCUGCUGUCUGUCCGCUAUGUUCAAACCAGUUGGGUGUUGUCUUUUGACUUUGUCCUAUUGGCGUGGCAGGUAGCCUGUUGGUCUUCGGGCCUCCGGGUGUAAUAGCUGGAUAUAGUGGAUCUGUGCAGUGCGUCGGAGACGGCGGCUUGGUGGUGUCGAAUGCUGUCAGUUGCGCGGUCAAUUUCUGCCUUAUGGUGGAGUUUGCCUUGUGUGAUCGGCGGUUCUUUGUGCUACUUUUUGGCCCAUAGUCUGUGAUGUAGUGGUAAACUCUCUACCCGACCCGUCUUGAAACACGGACCAAGGAGUUUAACAUGUGCGCGAGUCAUUGGGCUAAACGAAACCCACAGGCGAAAUGAAAGUAAAGGUCUGGCUUGUCUAGACUGAGGUGAGAUCCGGUCACUCCAGUGCCUUAUGGCGUUUGGGUGGCUGGCGCAUCACCGGCCCGUCCCAUGGUGUGGUCAUGGUUCCUUGUGAGCUAUGCGUCAUCGGGGUGGAGCAUGAGCGUACAUGUUGAGACCCGAAAGAUGGUGAACUAUGCUUGUGCAGGUUGAAGCCAGAGGAAACUCUGGUGGAGGACCGCAGCGAUUCUGACGUGCAAAUCGAUCGUCAAACA